RNAcentral lists this ribosomal RNA (492 nucleotides) under uncultured bacterium. Its description in RNAcentral is "partial 16S ribosomal RNA". It matches the Rfam family "Bacterial small subunit ribosomal RNA", at positions 29 to 507 of the family's 1533-position model. The record is from RNAcentral.
AGUGAACGCUGGCGGUAGGCCUAACACAUGCAAGUCGAACGGCAGCACAGUAAGAGCUUGCUCUUACGGGUGGCGAGUGGCGGACGGGUGAGGAAUACAUCGGAAUCUACUUUUUCGUGGGGGAUAACGUAGGGAAACUUACGCUAAUACCGCAUACGACCUACGGGUGAAAGCAGGGGAUCUUCGGACCUUGCGCGAUUGAAUGAGCCGAUGUCGGAUUAGCUAGUUGGCGGGGUAAAGGCCCACCAAGGCGACGAUCCGUAGCUGGUCUGAGAGGAUGAUCAGCCACCCUGGAACUGAGACACGGUCCAGACUCCUACGGGAGGCAGCAGUGGGGAAUAUUGGACAAUGGGCGCAAGCCUGAUCCAGCCAUACUGCGUGGGUUAAGAAGGCCUUCGGGUUGUAAAGCCCUUUUGUUGGGAAAGAAAAGCAGCAGGUUAAUACCCCGCUGUUCUGACGGUACCCAAAGAAUAAGCACCGGCUAACUUCGUG